GACUUAUCAACCACAUCAGAUGUUUUUGAUGUGGCUUGGAUAUGGGGGUUUCUUUUGCUGGCCAUUUCUUUUACAGAAGGUCAGCUCCCCUGAAAUGUAUUAGUGGUAUCUGAGCUGCUGCUAUAGGUGUGAUAAUUAUCUAUGCCUCUGGUAUGCUGCAUGAACAGAUUGCACCGCUUAUAACAAUUGAAUUUGACAA
Molecule: unclassified non-coding RNA, 199 nt
Filed under: Inocybe sp.
Lineage: Eukaryota; Fungi; Basidiomycota; Agaricomycetes; Agaricales; Inocybaceae
Also listed under: 1 other name
Description: partial internal transcribed spacer 2
Source: RNAcentral